Molecule: RNA transcript, 1319 nt
Organism: Momordica charantia (bitter melon)
Lineage: Eukaryota; Viridiplantae; Streptophyta; Magnoliopsida; Cucurbitales; Cucurbitaceae
Gene name: RING/U-box superfamily protein
Source: RefSeq, a predicted model, not a curated record
CGCAAGAGGCUGAAAGUUCCUUCCUCUGCCGUGUCGCGCUUUUCGUCCCAAUUUCCCUUUAUAAUGGCGGUUUUGCCCUAUUCUUCUCUUCCAUCUGUGAAGCCCUAGAACAACACCCUAAAUCACCAACACCUCAAUUCCAAUUUUCCCCUCUCAAUUUCCAUCUAAUCCAUCGCCAAAAAUUUCCCACAUAUUUUCAUACUCUUGGUACUCUUUUUCAUCCACCGCUCGUUUCAGGCUGUUGAGGAGCUCUGAAAUAUAGAUGAGUACUCAAGCAAUGAGGGGAACUACUGCUAGAGGGUAUCAUCGUAGGAAAUCAUUGGAUUUAGACCUAAACAGCAUGCCACCAAGUGAGAACCGAGAUCAAGGGGAGCCAUCUCAAUUGGGGUUGCAGGAAGCACACAGUAAUCAACAACAGCCCUUACAACCUACAAUGAUUGACAUUGAGGCCAUUGAUGAUGAUGUUAUUGAAUCAUCUGCCAGGGCAUUUGCUGAAGCUAAAAAUAAAUCCAGACGGAAUGCUAGGAAGAAUAUAGUUGAUGUGGAUGCAGAAGAGCGAAGCAGGGUGUCAAAUAAUAUUCGGAGCAAGCGCAGGAGGGAAGUGUCAAAUCAACGAACUGUAAAUUCUAAUUUAUUAAUCAAUUUGGAAGCCAGCAACAGCUCUCUGUUGCAGAAAGAGAAGCCUGUUCCACCUAAGGAGCCCAAAUUCAGUUGCCCAAUAUGCAUGGGCCCAUUAGUAGAGGAAACAUCAACAAGGUGUGGUCAUAUUUUCUGCAAGGCGUGCAUUAAAGCUGCAAUAGCCGUGCAGAGUAAAUGCCCUACCUGUAGGAAGAGAGUAACUGCCAAAGAACUCAUUAGAGUGUUCCUUCCUGGGACAAGCUUGGAGUGAGGCUUAUAUGUCUAAGAUUUCUUUCACAAAAUAACAUUGUCUCGAUGGCUAUAGGAUUUUGUUUUGAAGACUUCGAAGGGAAAGUUGAAGUUUUCUUGUAAGUAAGAAAAGCUAAUUUUUGGGUGGAAAUUUCCUAUGCAUUCUGCUGAUGGCUGGCACUGUCUUGAUGAUCUCAGAGUUGCACUAGGGAUAAAGUAGCAGGAAAUUUGGAUUUCCAUAUUUUUUAGUUGUUUACUUGGGUGGUUUUCUGGAGUUGUAAUUGUUAACAAAUGAACAAUGAAAUCCAAUAGUAAUGCAAUGAGAUUACCUAAUUGAAUCCAGAGAAGUUGCUUUUGUUGGUCGACUUCAGGUUGUCUUAUGUAUCUUUUAUUUAUAUAAAUAUAAAUCAUUUUAUGUCUGAUGUGAUGACCAUAUUAAAUACUUGCAUCAA